UAAUACGGAGGGUGCAAGCGUUAUCCGGAUUCACUGGGUUUAAAGGGUGCGUAGGUGGGUUGGUAAGUCAGUGGUGAAAUCUUCGAGCUUAACUCGGAAACUGCCAUUGAUACUAUCAGUCUUGAAUAUUGUGGAGGUUAGCGGAAUAUGUCAUGUAGCGGUGAAAUGCUUAGAUAUGACAUAGAACACCAAUUGCGAAGGCAGCUGGCUACACAUAUAUUGACACUGAGGCACGAAAGCGUGGGGAUCAAACAGGAUUAGAUACCCUGGUAGUCCACGCCCUAAACUAUGGAUACUCGACAUACGCGAUACACUGUGUGUGUCUGAGCGAAAGCAUUAAGUAUCCCACCUGGGAAGUACGAUCGCAAGAUUGAAACUUAAAGGAAUUGACGG
This 393-nucleotide ribosomal RNA is filed under the name uncultured bacterium. Its description in RNAcentral is "bacterial SSU rRNA". It matches the Rfam family "Bacterial small subunit ribosomal RNA", at positions 521 to 916 of the family's 1533-position model. The record is from RNAcentral.